AGGUAAAGGAGCUGCUGACUAUGUACUGACACUUCCAGGGCAACGAGCAAAUAUAAACAUUUUAAGGACAGUCUCACUGUGUAGCCCUGGGUGGCUUUGAUCUCAGAUCCUCCUAUGUCCCAAGUACAGGAGACUAAAGAUCAAGGGCACCAAGAACUCAUGGAGUCGCAGGUGGCCACAUCGAUCCUAAGGAGCAAGAACAAAACUGGAGGAGUCACUGACCUCAAGCCGUCCAUGCUACAGGAGCUACAGGGACAGAGGCAGCCUGGUAAUGAAAAGGAGAGAUGGGACAGAACAGAGGAGUGGACUACAUCGACAAAGCUGUGGGCGUCUAAUCUCUGACGAGGGUGGCCGAAAGCAUGCAGUAGAAGGAUAGUCCAGUCAACAAAGUGCUGCAAAACUGGGUGUCACCUGCGGCAGAACACAACUAGAUCCGUUAUCUUUCAUGCCAUGUAAAAACCAAUUAGAAAUGGAAUAAAUACCUUAAUUUAAAACCUCAAA
This is a non-coding RNA of Rattus norvegicus (Norway rat), 501 nucleotides long. The record is from RefSeq and is a predicted model, not a curated record. Lineage: Eukaryota; Metazoa; Chordata; Mammalia; Rodentia; Muridae.